This 253-nucleotide ribosomal RNA is filed under the name uncultured bacterium. Its description in RNAcentral is "partial 16S ribosomal RNA". It matches the Rfam family "Bacterial small subunit ribosomal RNA", at positions 524 to 776 of the family's 1533-position model. The record is from RNAcentral.
UACGUAGGGUGCGAGCGUUAAUCGGAAUUACUGGGCGUAAAGCGUGCGCAGGCUGUUUUGUAAGUCAGAUGUGAAAUCCCUGAGCUCAACUUAGGAACUGCGUUUGAAACUACAAGACUAGAAUAGGUCAGAGGGGGGUAGAAUUCCACGUGUAGCAGUGAAACGCGUAGAGAUGUGGAGGAAUACCAAUGGCGAAGGCAGCCCCCUGGGAUCAUAUUGACGCUCAUGCACGAAAGCGUGGGGAGCAAACAGG